Molecule: ribosomal RNA, 274 nt
Filed under: uncultured bacterium
Lineage: Bacteria
Description: partial 16S ribosomal RNA
Rfam family: Bacterial small subunit ribosomal RNA
Source: RNAcentral
AUACGGAGGGUGCAAGCGUUACUCGGAAUCACUGGGCGUAAAGCGCGCGCAGGCGGCUAUUUAAGUUGGAUGUGAAAGCCUACGGCUCAACCGUAGAACUGCAUCCAAAACUAUUUAGCUAGAGUGUGGGAGAGGAAGAUGGAAUUAGUUGUGUAGGGGUAAAAUCCGUAGAGAUAACUAGGAAUACCAAAAGCGAAGGCAAUCCUCUGGAACACUACUGACGCUGAGGCGCGAAAGCGUGGGGAGCAAACGGGAUUAGAAACCCUAGUAGUCC